GGGCCCGUAGCUCAGUCUGAAGUGAACUUCGUUCACAUAUUUCACGAAGCUUGCUUCCUGAAACGGUUGGAGCGUUCGACUGAUAAUCGAAAGGUCCUGCGUUCAAAUCGCGGCGGGCCCA
This 121-nucleotide transfer RNA is filed under the name Microcaldota archaeon. RNAcentral describes it as "tRNA-Ile". The record is from RNAcentral. Lineage: Archaea; Nanobdellati; Microcaldota.